UAUUUGUUUUAAAUUGUUUAAAUCUUCAAUUUAUGGCUAAAAUUCCAUUUGCGUACCUCUGUAGCCCAAAUAUUUGUUUCUGCAACUUCUCUUGUUUCUCCAGAGUGUUCUUCAGGAAAUAUUCAAGAAAAACCAGUUUGCCAUGGUACGACUUUUGCGUACCUCUCAGCGGAAUAGACUACAUUCUAUUGCUAUGAAACUACAAUAAAGAGACCCUUUACAUGUUUUUACAUUGUUUAAAGUUGCUUUUGAAUUUUCCUUGUUGCCGGUUUUUUAGUUAUAACAAUUUACAUUCAGCCA
Molecule: long non-coding RNA, 300 nt
Filed under: Amphimedon queenslandica
Lineage: Eukaryota; Metazoa; Porifera; Demospongiae; Haplosclerida; Niphatidae
Description: uncharacterized LOC109587855
Source: RNAcentral